RNAcentral lists this long non-coding RNA (215 nucleotides) under Paramuricea clavata. The record is from RNAcentral. Lineage: Eukaryota; Metazoa; Cnidaria; Anthozoa; Malacalcyonacea; Plexauridae.
CCAUAAUAUUAUAUUUGGGCGGAGUUUUAAACGUAAACAUUCACAAGUUAGGGUAAAACAUUGGUAAAUUCAAGACCCUAGCUAGCCUUUUAGCUCUUCACGAUUUACGCACGCAUAUUAAUAUCGAUUCACCGAAUGGUAUUUCUUUAAAUCACGAAUCACGAAGCACGAAUAAUUGCUAAUGACGCGUCACGAAAAUACCCUUGCCCCCCCCC